RNAcentral lists this ribosomal RNA (420 nucleotides) under Fusobacteriota bacterium. RNAcentral's name for it is "Fusobacteria bacterium partial 16S ribosomal RNA". It matches the Rfam family "Bacterial small subunit ribosomal RNA", at positions 355 to 776 of the family's 1533-position model. Lineage: Bacteria; Fusobacteriati; Fusobacteriota. The record is from RNAcentral.
UGGGGGAUAUUGCACAAUGGGCGAAAGCCUGAUGCAGCGACUCCGCGUGGGGGAUGAAGGCCUUCGGGUUGUAAACUUCUUUUGCUCUGAACAAGGCAUGCCUUUGGGGUGUGUUGAGUGUAGGGGUUGAUUAGCGCCGGCUACCUACGUUCCAGCAGCCGCGGUAAUACGUAGGGCGCGAGCGUUGUCCGGAAUUAUUGGGCGUAAAGGGCUUGUAGGUGGCUGGUUGCGUCUGUCGUGAAAGCUCAUGGCUUAACUGUGGGUUUGCGGUGGGUACGGGCUGGAUUGAGUGCAGUAGGGGAGGCUGGAAUUCCUGGUGUAGCGGUGGAAUGCGCAGAUAUCAGGAGGAAUACCGGUGGCGAAGGCGGGUCUCUGGGCUGUUACUGACGCUGAGGAGCGAAAGCGUGGGGAGCGAACAGG